GCUAAUGACGGUGCGGCGGCGGGGGGAAGAGGGAGGGGGCAAGGGGUGUCGGGAUACACUGGGCGUAAAGCGCCGGCAGGCGGUCGGUUACGUUGGGGGUGAAAACCCGGGGCUCAACCCCGGGACGGCCUGGGAUACGGGAAGACUUGAGGAUCGGAGAGGCAAGGGGAAUUCCACGUGUAGCGGUGAAAUGCGUAGAGAUGUGGAGGAACACCUGUGGCGAAGGCGCCUUGCUGGCCGAUUUCUGACGCUGAGGCGCGAAAGCGUGGGGAGCAAACAGGAUUAGAUACCCGUGUAGUC
RNAcentral lists this ribosomal RNA (300 nucleotides) under uncultured Clostridium sp. RNAcentral's name for it is "bacterial SSU rRNA". The stretch from base 52 to 300 matches the Rfam family "Bacterial small subunit ribosomal RNA", at positions 547 to 795 of the family's 1533-position model. The record is from RNAcentral. Lineage: Bacteria; Bacillati; Bacillota; Clostridia; Eubacteriales; Clostridiaceae.